RNAcentral lists this long non-coding RNA (12206 nucleotides) under Nicotiana tabacum (common tobacco). RNAcentral's name for it is "long non-coding RNA (NTAB_LNC005322)". The record is from RNAcentral. Lineage: Eukaryota; Viridiplantae; Streptophyta; Magnoliopsida; Solanales; Solanaceae.
UAACAGAAAUAAUAAUAAAACUUCUAAUUAAACCAACAGCUAUCAUAAGAAUGACUCCAUAAUACAACUGAAAAUAACACCCAAAAUCUGGUGAGACCAAGUCAUAAACUCUACACGAGUAUACAGAACCAUUCUUAAUACAUCAAUAUCUAUAAUAGGAGUAUGCAAUAGAAACUAAGAUAGAGGGUGACUCCGAGGCCUGCGAACGCCGGUAUGUAUACCUUGAAGUCUCCAAUUCAAGCUCAACUCACAGAUGCCUAGGCUGGUAUGAAGAACCCGGAUCUGCAUAAAAUGAUGUGCCGAAGCGUAGUAAAAGUAAACUACAUGGUACCUAGUAAGUAUCAAGCUUAACCUCGGUAGAGUAGCGAUGAGGUCGAGUCAAUACACCUAUUGGAAAAAAUAAAGAAACGGAACAGGUAUAGUACAGUAUAAUAAUGGAAAAAAUGAAAAUGAUACAAUGAAGGAAUACAACAAGAAUAGCUACACUGAAAUUAAGGCAAUAAAGACAUCACGUGAGAAACACAUAAUAAGAAUGCCAAGGAAACGAUGCACAUAAAACACAAGUGAUGUAAAUGAAAUGUGGCAACAAGAAUCAUUACCGAGGUACCGCCUCAUAGUCUUAUUUCACAUUCAAAAUAUUUUUCUUAUAUCACCGUGCUAGCCUUAUAUUUAGUUUUGAAAAUCAUUUUUUGAAAUAGUUACCCGAAUUUUAUUCCACCUUAUCACACUGCGUGGCUUCAAGCAGUUCCCCUACUAGCAACACACGUAUCAAGCCCACCUUAUCUCACCACAUGCGUAUCAACCCCUAUCCUUAUACCACCGCAUGCAUAUCAAUAUCACAACAUAUCACAAAUCACACCUCAAGUGCCUAAUACUACAACUUGCCAAAGAAGUCAACAAUAACAAUGUUUCUAUGAUAAAUAGCCCAUGGCUCAACCACAAUGUAUACAAGAGUCUCAACGAUAGCAACCAAAAGUGAACAACUCAACAAGAAUGAUAUUUCAACAAUUUACAACUCAGCCUCAAUAUGAUCACGACUUUUACAGCUUCAACACCAAGAAAUAACACCUUCGAGUAAGGUAACUCAACAAUUAAAUAUUUAACAAGGCAAUAAGGGAACAAUAACUUGAACUAAGCGUGCAAGGCUAAAUAACAAGUAAGAGAUGAGAAAAGUAUUAACAAUGUCAAGUGAAACAUGUAAGGAUAGAUUAAUGAUGAUGAAUAUAACAUGUUAUGACAACUCAAUUAAAGGCAUGAAAAUAAUCUACAUAGCUUAACCGGUCAAUUACUACAUUUAGCCCGUGUACCCACUCGUCACCUUGCGUACACGACUUUUACGUACCACAAUUAACACAAAACAACACCCGUCCUAAAGGGUAAUUCCCCCAUACAAAGUUAGGCAAGAUACUUACCUCAAAACACGCUAACUCAAUCCAUUAGUGAGCCUUUUCCGCGAAUAUCCAACUCUGAAUGGCUCGAAUCUAGCCAAAAUAACCUUAUACCAUAAAUACAAACCAUAGGAAACUAUUCCAGAUAAUAAAGUUGCAAUCUUUAAAGAAAAUCAAAAAGUCAACUAAACAAGUCAACCACAGGCUCGCAUCUCGGAACCCGGCCAAUCUUAUAAAAUCGGAACACCCAUUCAAUAACGAGUUCAACCAUACUAAAAUUACUCAAUCCGACCUCAAAUCGACCUUAAAAUCCUCAAAACAUAGUUUAUCAAGUUUUUCACGAAGUUCCCUAAUUAUUUCCAACUCAAAACACUAAUUAAAUGAUAAAAACAAUGAUGGAUUCAUGUAUAAUAUCCAAAACCGAAUUAGAAUCACUUAUCCCGAUCAAUUCCUUCAAAAUCCCUCUCGAAAUCGCCCACUUCUAUGUCAAAAGAUGACGAAUGAAAUCAAACCCUCGUUUUUAUCCUUUUCUGCGCAGCGAUCUCGCUUUUGCGGAUCCUCAGCCGUAUCUGCGGCUCCACACCUACGGAAAUCCUAUCGCAGGUGCGCCUUCCACUUAAGCCCAGGGAAAAUUGCAACUGCGGGCACCAAAGCGCAACAGCGACUGCACCAGAACCUCAGUAGCUUCAGCAAUCAACUAAGUACAAAAAUGAUCAGAUUUCAAUCUGAUUCACUCUCGGGGCCCCCGGGACCCGUCUGAAUAUACCAACAAGUUCCAAAACACAUAGAAAACCUACUCGAGGCCUAUAAUCACUUCAAACAACAUCCAUUCUACGUAUUGUGACCCAAUUCAAACCUAUGGAAACCAUGAGCAUCAAACUUCCAAAACUAACAACGAUUCUUACCAAACCAACUCCGAUUGACCCUAAAUUUUGCACACAAGUCAUAAAUAACACAACAGACCUAUUACAACUUUCGAAAUCGGAAUCCGACCCUGACAUAAUUAAAGUCAUGUCCUAGUCAAACUUCUCAACCUUCCAAACAUUCAACUUUCUAACUUUCGCCAAUUCAAGCCAAAACAGCCUACAAAGCUCCAAAUCAAUAUCCAGACAUGCUCCUAUGUCCAAAAUCACUAUUCGGAGCUAUCAGAACCGUCAAAACUCUAUUCUGGAGUCAUCUAUACAAAAGUGAAACUCCUUUUAACUCUUUUAACUUAAGCUUCCAACUUUAGAACUAAGUAUCCCAUUUCACUCCGAAACUCACCCGAAACCAAAACCAACCACCCUAACAAGUCACAUAACCAAAAUAUAACAUAGAUGAGGCAAUAAAUAGGGGAACGAGGCUAAAAUACUCAAAAUGACCGGCUGGGUCAUUACAUCAGGUAUGAAACACGACAAAUAACAACGAAACAGAUAAACUUUAAUAAUUAAUUUCAUAACAUGGAUCAUUACAAAAUCAUUAAAAUUCCAUAACCAACCUCGAAGGAAGAAAAUUGAUUGAUAUCAAUACCAAAUCAAAUCUUAAGUGUUACACAUGAGUCUGCCGAGGUAAACGACCUGAUCCCAUAAGAAUAGUAUUACACAAUACCGCCGAAGUGAACGACCUGAUCCCAUAAGAAUAGUAUUACAUAUUCAUGUCGAGGCUAAUGACCCGAUCCUAUAAGAAUAAUUCAUAAUACUACCAAGGCGAACGACCGAUCCCAUAAGCAUAAAUUGCAACACCGCUGAUGCGAACGACCCGAUCCCAUGAGAAUAGAGAAACUCUCUCACCCGCAAAAAUACAUGUGAGUCGAGAAGGCACGGAACUUCCAAUCGAUAGUAUUUCACAAUUUCUAAAGUAAGAGUCUUGAUCAUUAUUUCUAUUCUAGUCCCAAUCUCAGUCAUGAAUUAAAGAAAUCAAACGAGCAAGAUUAAUACAAAUAGCACAUUUAAAGCAUGAUGUGAAUCUAAGUCUACCCGAACAUAAGCAUGAAUCUAGCUACGUACAGACUCUCGUUACCUCUACGUACAUAGCUCCCACAACAAGUAGCACACAAUAAUUGAUAAACCUAUGGGGGAUAAUUCCCUCUUACGAGAUUAGGCAAGAAACUUACUUUGCUUCCAACCUCAUAACUCGGCUCUUAAACCUCACAGGAAUUCCCCAAAUAAUGCCAAGCAAUAUUAAACUAUUCAAAAGUCGUACAAACAGUUAAAUAUAUGCUCAAAAGUUCAUAAUUUAUCUAAAAAGUAAUGUCCCAACCAAAUUCAGAAAGUCCAUAAAAGUCACCCCCAGGUCCAUGUGGCCGGAUUCUAAAAUUAUUUGAAGAUAAACGUUACCCAUGACAUUACGAACUCAAAUAUAUAUUUUAUUUCCAAUUCCAUAACCAAUUUCUUGGUAAAAUCCUAUUUUUAUCAAACCCUAGGUUUCCAAUAAAAUCCCACAAAUUUUACUAAUUUUCAUGUUAAUGUCUACCCAUAAUCCAUGUAUUAAACUCAAAGUUGGUAAAAAUCACUUACCUUGUGAUGUUGAUGAACAUCCCCCAAAAAGUGCUCUUAAUUUCGUCCAAGACCAAGUGAAAAUAUGAGAGGAAUAGGCUAAGUCCAAAAUAAAAGUGUUUUUCCCAGGCCCAUUGUUCUUCACGAUCACGAAAGAAGCCUCGCGAUCUCGAAGGCUUCCAGCUGCCCAAACGCCCUUCACGUUCGCGACCUCUAGGUCGCAUUCGUGAUGACCUAUGAUCCAUGGCCUUCACUUUUGCGGCCCAACAGCCGCGUUCACGAAGACCAACAGCCUUUUAGCCCAAGUCCUCUCUUGUCUUCUUCGCAUUCGCGAUUGUGCCUUCAUAUUCGCGAAGGAGAGCCAUGUCCUCCCCGGCAUUCUCAGAGCCUUCUUCGCGUUCGCGAAGUGAAACCAGCUGCCCCUCUAAAAUGCCUUCUUCACUAUCAUGGGAUGCCCUUUGAGAUCGCGAAGCACACCAAAAUACCAGCAUACCAGCAAUUUACAGCCAACUUAACUUUGCUCCGGGUAGUCCAAAAUACACCCGAGCCACCCGGGAUCUCGUCUAAUUAUACCAACAAGUUCAUAAACAUACUACGGACCUACUCAAAACCUCAAAACAUAUAAAAUAACACCGGAAGCAAGAUAGAUAGGUCCAACUAGUAUUUAUGGACUUGUUGGUAUGAUUGAACGGGAUCUUAGUGGGGCUCGAAUGUGUUUUGGACCACCCAUAGCAUAUUUGAGAUUGUUGGGUUUUGCUAGUAUCUGGUAUGCUUUGCGAUUAUGGAGCUCGUCUCUCGAUCAUGAUGAAGGAUGGCUAGGGCUGUUAUGCUUUGCGUUCGCAGUUGUAGGGACUCGUUCACAAAGACUGGAGGUCACUGGGCAUCACGUUUGUGGAUGUCCAAUCGCGUUCGCGAUAGCAAAAGAGGAUUUUCUAACAAAGGCAGAUUGUGCUUCACGAAUGCAAGGCUGUGGCCGCGCUUGCGAAGGAUAGUGCUGGCAGGCGCAUUUUAAGUCUAAAGUUUUGGGAUUUUGCCCUUUUUCAAUUUUUGGAAUUAUCGAGCAGAGAGGAUGAGAUUUUAAGUGGAAUUACACUAAAGUGUUGGAUCUAAGUAAAUUUUUCUUGGAUUUGAUCAUGUAUCUUGAUUCCCUGUGAAUUUAUACACCUAAAAUAUGGAAUUCUGGAGUGAAAUUUGAGAUUUUGUCUACAACUUAAGAGUGUGUAAAUUGAGAUUUUGAGUAUCAAUUUGGAGAUGGAUUUAUAAACUAAACCCAUAUUUGGACUCGUGGGAUUUUGGGUAAACAAGAUCUUCCCCUAGACUUGAGUUUUAACCAUGUUGGCCCAAGUUAACUUUUACUGACUUUUUGAAAAUUAUUAAAAAUUGAAACUUUAUUAUUUGUAAUUGAUUCCUAUGACUUUAUUUGACCUUAUUGAGUAUUAUUUAGUUAGAUUUGAGCCGUUUGGAAGUGGUUUCCAAAGAAAAGGCAGUUUUAGAGGGUUGGUUUGUCUUGUUAAGGGGAGUAUCUUGCCCAAUUUUGAUUUGAGGGAAUAACCCAUAAGAUAUGACCUUAUUUGUUUAAUUUAAAUGUGUGAAGAGCAACUUAUAUGAGACGAGCUUAUAUGCGGGUACUAUGAAUUAUUGAUGUUCGAGGUAGACUUUAGGCUUCUACUAUUCCUUGUUUGGUUGUGUGCAUUCCAUGAUUUAUGUGUUAAUCAAUUGCAUGACUACGUAAGCUUAUUCUUUUAUGUUAGUAACUACAUUUAGGAUUACAACAUUUUAAUUGGCCAUGAUGGACUAUCGGUGAAAUUAUUGAUAUAAAUGAUUUAGCCUUAGUCAUGCUUUAUAUCUUGAGCACACAUCCGCACUUUUAAUUAUUAUAUCCUUGUGUAUUUUAUUGAUUAUUUGUGAGCAUAUGCAGAGUUGGAGAUGAAAUAUUAUUUCGAACUGCUAUGAUUAUUACAUAUUUGGAUGUAUUGAGUGGAUUGAUUUGGAUAUGAUACAAGGUUUAUAGUGUAUAUUGUUAUAGAAUGAGGUCUUUGCCGUGUAGCGUGUGGAUCUAGAUCCAUCCCUCUAUGGUUGCCCUCUCAUGUUUCUCUCUUGAUGGCAUAUUCUCAUUUGAUGGCGUACAUGCAUGUUGUGAGACAAUAAUAGAGUUAUAGUUGUUCUGAUAUGGGAUCUGAUAAGGUGGAUUUUGAGCAUAAGAGUGAAAACUUUGACCAUUCAAGUGAAUCAUUUAUGCCAUUUCAUGCAUACUAUAUGCAUUUUAGUUUUUUCAUUGCAAAAAAAAUCGUUCAUGUUUCUUAGCCUUAAAAAAUAAUUUUAAUGGCAAAAAUUUUAUUUUGAGUUUACUUUCCUAAUAAUUAGGAUUUUUAAAUCAACUAAGAUUUUAGUUGUUAAUUCUCUCCAUAUUCAACAAGCUAGAAAGUCAUAAUAUUUAGAAUUUUAAAUCAACUAGAAUUUUAUCUAAUACAAAUCCUUUCCUUAUAACUUUAUGGAUAACUAUAUUUGUGUCACAACCCAAAAUCUAAACUUGCGCCAAACACGUCAAAACAACUCGGAUUCACAUUAAAUUUUGUACACUAGUUUCAAAUAACACAAGGUACUUAUUCCAAGUUCUGGAACAACAAUCUAGACCUGGUAACAUUGAAUUCAACAUAUCGCGAUUCACAGUGCCCAAACAAUAAAUUUGCUCUUUGCUAACGCGACUCAAAGCCUGCGAUCGCAAUGCACACCCCUAUGGCCAAAAACUAGAAACUAAAAAUGGCCUAGAAAUGGUCUGAAACUACCCCGAAACUCAUCCGAGUCAAUGGGAACCCCGUCCGAACAUACCAACUUGUCCAAGUUUAGCCAAUUAGUGCUGAAACCUUCUAAAAAUAUUCAAAUACAAAUCCGGGUAUACGCCCAAGUCCACAAUCACCAUUCGGACCUAACGGAACCAUUAAAACUCCAAUCUGAGGUCAAAUACUAAAAAGUCAAACUUGGUCAACUCUUCGUAGUUGAGAAUUAUUCUUCCAAAUCAAUUCCGAGUCACCUGAAAACCAAAACCGGCGAUUCACAUAAGUCAUAAUAUAUCAUACGAAGAUACCCAAGACUUCAAUAGAUGAACAGAAUGCAAAUGCUCAAAAUGACUGAUCGGGUCGUUACAUAUUUCAUCCAUUUUCCUCCAAUACGAUGUGUGACAUCCUUGUCAAUAUCACCAUUACCUUGAUUAAUAGAUCUGAGUUGCUUGAAACUCCCCUUAUUAGGGAUGACUUGUGAAUCUAGCCUCACUUUGAUGUCUGUAUCAUGACACAUUGCUGAACUUGCAUUCCAAAUACUUAGUUUUAGUCCUGCUCAUCUUAACCCUUUUGACUCCAGAGUUUGUCUUCAAACCUCUACCCUCGCAUUAACACCACCUCGCAUCUCUUCAAUUAGUAAUAACAUGCACCAUGGAACCUCCUCUUGAGUGUGCUGUGUCAGAACAUCCAUCGCCGGGUCAAAUAAAAAUGGGCUAACCACGGAUCCCUGAUGCAAGCCCAUCCCGACAUGGAAGUGCUCCGAGUCUCCUCCCACCGUCCUAACCCGGGUCUUAACGCCAUCAUACAUAUCCUGGAUCACCCUAGUAUAAGCUACAGGCACACCUCUAACCUCUAAAAACUACCAAAUACUCUAGUGCAAAUUAUUUUAGGAGAAAAAUAUUUUUGAUAACUUUUAACUAACUGAAUAAUCAAGAAAAUCUCUUGAAUUCUUAUAAGAUCUCAGAUGAACCCGGUAGUGCGUUUUUAUUGGAAAGGAGAUUAGGAUUUGAGUUCAUCCUCAUAUAGGGUCGAAUUAUUUGGUUAAUGUGUUGAUAUAUAUUAUUUUCCAAUUCCUUGCAACAAAGGAAUAUUAUACACAUUAAAAGCUCGUGCAUUCAGUUAACAAGCAAUUCAAGCAAGUUCUCAUGAAUGAGUUUGAUUCCAUGCUCAUCCAAAAGAAUAUGAAGGCUGGAGUAGUUAGUCCGUUGCAGUCUUAUGUAUAACUUUAGUCCAGCCCUAGUUCAGAUAUAUUAAGGUAUUGAGUUAUAAUUAUACUUUUUAAGUUAGAGUUGACUUGAAAGUAUGAAAAAUUCGCGUGAGCCGUUAAGAAAAUAGUUAGAGUUAAGUUUGAAUAUUGCAGGAGUUGUAAUUUAAAUAAUUUGACUCCUUUUGUUUUAGUGAAAUUGGGGUUAAAUACUACCGGAUAGGUCAAGCUUUUGCACCUUUUGAGCCAGGUGAUUUUUCACCUAAAAAUAUCUAUGUUCUUUAAUUUUCCACACUUGAUUUUAUCACAUUUCACGACAUAAGCUAAAGAACCAGGUUUCUUUAGACAAAUUCUAGGGGCACUCAAUUUAACAAAUUCAAAAUGCAAUUGACUUUUCUUAAUCCACAUAAUCAUUUGUAUUUCGGGAAAUACACUAUUUUGGCAUUCGAAUAAAAUAAAACGCUCAUAUACAGUGUUUCAUAGGGCUGGAUCGUCAGGCAAGAUGUUUUACUUAAGGCACAAGCCCUGAAACAUGAUGCAUAAGGUGCAUUGAUCUUUAAAUUUUUUAACGUUAUAAUUUAAUAAAAUAUCACAAUAACAUAAAAAUUUUAAAAUUACAUUAAAAGUUUACAAAAGUAAAAAAAUUAAAGGAACUCAUAGAAAAUAAAAUAUCUAGCUUUGGGUGGUUAUGGCGAGGUGCAUGGCGGCUUCGGCUUUGGGGAUAGGAACGGAGGAGGAACUUCGCUUUUGGAUUUUGCUAAAGCAUUUGAGCUGGUGAUUGCGAACUCUAGCUUUCCGAAGAGAGAGGAGCAUUUGGUUAUGUUCCAAAGUACGGCGGUGAAGAGGCUCUUGGUGAUGGUUGUGUAAGGAUUGCAAGGUGAUUCCGGGGGAGAUCCUUGCGACGCAGCAUAGGCUCUUGGUGAUGGACGUUGUUAUCAUGAUAAAGAGGAAGAAGAGGUUUGUUCGAGGACGACCGAGGAUCAGGUGGGGAGCCUUGACAAAGGAUAAAGCUCAAGAGUUGGAGGGGAGUUUAUCGACUAUGGGAGCCUGAAGGAGUAGUGGGGACGCGACCGCUAUGUGGAAGACGACGGCGAACUGUAUAAGGGAUGUGGCAAGAGAGGUAUUAGGGGUCUCGAGAAGUUACUCUGGCGGGCACAAAUGUGACUUGUGGUGGAAUGAAGUGGUCCAAGGUAAAGUGGAAGCGAAAAAGGUUGCGUACCUGAAAUUAGUAGGGAGAACAUGCGAGGAGGAGAGGAGAGAAAACAGAGAGAGGUAUAAGGUAGCUAGGAAGGAGGCAAAGUUGGCAGUCACAGAGGCUAAGACUGUAGCGUUUGGUUGUCUGUACGAGGAAUUAGGGGACAAAGGCGAGGAUAAUAAGUUAUUUCGACUGGCCAAGGCGAGAGAGAAGAAUGCUCGGGAUCUGGACCAAGUGAGGUGCAUCAGAGAUGAGGAAGGUAGAGUAUUGAUAGGAGAGGCACAAAUUAAGCGGAGAUGGAAGACUUACUUUCAUAAACUUCUGAAUGAAGAAGAGGACAGGGAUAUUGUGCUAGGUGAAUUGGGGCAUUCAGAGAGUCACCGAAAGUUUGGUUACUGUAGACGCAUCAAGGUUGAGGAGGUAGUGGGGGUUAUAUGUAAGAUGAGUAGGGGCAGAGUAACCGUGCCAGAUGAAAUUACGGUAGAACUUUGGAAGUGUGUGGGUAGAUCAGGCUUGGAGUGGAUGACUAGGCUGUUUAAUAUUAUUUUCAGGGCGAAGAGGAUGUCGGAUGAGUGGAGAUGGAGUAUGGUGGUACCAUUGUACAAGAACAAAGGUGAUAUCCAGAGUUGCAAUAACUAGAGGGGUAUCAAGUUACUAAGUCAUACUAUGAAUAUUUAGGAGAGGGUAGUGAAAGUGAGGGUGAGAAGGACUGUGUCUAUAUCCGAUAACCAGUUCGAGUUCAUGCCCGUCCAUUCAACUAUGAAAGCUAUCCACCUUAUUAGGAGGUUGGUGGAACAAUACAGGGAUAUGAAGAAGAAUUUGCACAUGGUGUUUAUUGACCUGGAGAAAGCGUAUGACAAGGUGACUAGGGAGGUCCUUUGGAGAUUCCUGGAGUCAAAAGGUGUGCCGGUCUUUUACAUCAGGGCGAUUAAGGACAUGCAUUAUGGAGCUAAGACUCGGGUUAGGACAGUGUGAGGCGAUUCUUAGCAUUUUUCGGUUGUUAUGGGAUUGCACCAAGUAUCUGCACUCAACCCGUUCUUAUUUUCCCUAGUGAUGGAUGCACUGCCACACCAUAUAGGGGUGGCGUGGAUAAAAUAGAGGUUAACAUCUGGAGUUUUGUCGGGCAAGAAAGUGUCACUGAUGCUCAAAGGUAAGUUUUAUAGAGCGGUGGUUAGACCGGCCAUGUUGUAUGGGGUAGAGUGUUAGCCAGUUAAGAACUCACAUAUCCAGAAGGUGGAAGUAGCAGAAAUAAGGAUGUUGAGGUGGAUGUGCGGGCACACUAGGAUAGAUAAGAUUAAGAAUGAAGAUAUUCAGUAGAAGGUAGGCAUGACUCUUAUGGAUGAUAAGAUGCAAGAAGCAAGGCUCAGAUUGUUCGGGAACGUGCGGAGGAGAAGCCUAGAAGCUCCGGUAAGGAUGUGUGAGAAAUUGGCUUUUGGGUGGUACGAGAAUAGGUAGACGGCGACCUAAGAAGUAUUAGGGAGAGGUGAUCAGGCAGGACAUGGCGUGGCUUCAAAUUUUUAAGGACAUGGCCCUUGAUAGGAAGGUGUGCAGGUCGAGCAUUAGGGUUGUAGGUUAGGAGGUAGUUGAGCAUUUUUUUACAUCGUUCCGGGUGAGAGACUAGUCUGAUAGGGUUUUGUCUUAGACUGCUAGUGGUUAAUAUUGUGUUCAUAUUAUUCUUUCGUUUUUCAUAGUAUCGAGCCUUACCUACUUGUUAUUGUUAUUGCUUUUCAUCUGUUUUCUGGUCCUUAUGUUGCUGUUAUUAUUUCUGUGAUUUCUGUUGAUGGUACUGAUUAAUUGUCUUUGUUCGUCUUUCUGAGCCGAGGGUCUUUUGAAAAUAAUCUCUCUACUCCCUCAGGGUAGGGGUAAGGUGUGUGUACUCACUAGCCUCCCCAGACCCCACUUGUUGGAAUUACACUCGGUUGUUGUUGUUGUUGUUGUUGUUGUUGUUUCUUCUUACAAGUAUAAACAAUGCAAUGGAAUUAAAGUUAUUCCAAGAUACGAAAUCAACUACAAUAUCUUAUUUUCAAAUAAUUAAAAGAAAUCAUUUUUUUUAAAUGAUAUAAAACUAUCUAUUUUGCCUCAAAAAGUAAAUAAUCAAUAAACUUUAAGUACUAUAAUUUAAAAUAUUAUUUCAUGAUAAAUAAAUACAAAAUUUCUUUCAAAUAUCAAAGUAAUAAAAGUCUAAUAAUAGACGUAUAAACUAAGACAUUAAAAAUAAUAACAAGUGAAUAUAUAAAUUUCAUUUAUCUAUUUUCAAAAGAAAUACUCAAAUAAUAUGUGGCAUCAUGAUGUUCUCAAAUAUUAAAUUUCCAAAUACAUUGGCUGAUUAUUUGAGUUAAUCUCAAUCAUCAUAUAUGAGAAUGCAGUGUUAAUUAAAAAAUUCGACACAUGAUUUGCGUAAGAACGGUUAGGUGAGCCCCAAGCGUUGAGAUUUAGGCAUAUUUAGAAGGCACAAUCGGGCGCUUGGGGCAUAAGACUCACAAGUGAGACUUAGGGAGUUUUGUAGUGUCCCACUCAAGGGCGAGCCCUGAGCGAGUCGUAAAAAAGCCUUUUAAAACACUACUCAUAUAUGAGAAUUAUUUUAAACCCCGAGUUAUACUCAUAUAUUUAAGAUAAAAUUAUUUUACUAGCGCUUAUUUCGUAAUUUUAGUUGUUUAUUUUAACCUUGACUUCUUGACCUCAAACAAUAAUCGCUUUUCUAAAAAUUAAGCAACAACAAGCAAAAGGGAAUGCCAAAGGAAAAAUAAAGCAUUAGAAAAGGAGGACAUUAAGGAUCACACCACACAUAUUUGUAUUCACCUCCAAAGAAAUGGUAUUUCCCCCAUUUCACCCUACUCACCAUCACCACCGUAAUUGUUUUUCCAUUUUUGCUUUUCUUCCUCGGUGAUUUAGUACAUGUAGUAAGCAAAGAAGGACAAGAGUGUGGCUCCAAUCAAAGUUCCCACAGCGGGCAAAGCGACAGCAGCAUCGCUGGUCGGCGACGGAGCCGGGGCGUCACUUGGGCUCAUUUGAGCCAUGGCAGCGCUCAUGGAGGCUGCGGCAACUAGGGCGGCACAAGUGAUCUUCUUCAUCUCCGUAUCUAUCAGACGAGUUGAAAUAUAGGCAGGCGAAAAUUAACGUCUCAAAGGAAAGUUGAGAUGUAAUAGCCGAAUUUUCCUUUCCUGCCUU